GACGAACGCUGGCGGCGUGGAUUAGGCAUGCAAGUCGAACGGUAUCAUCCUUUCGGGGGUGAGAGAGUGGCGAACUGGUGAGUAACACGUAGGUUAUCUACCCUCAAGACGGGGACAACCCAGAGAAACUUGGGCUAAUACCGGAUGUGAGCAACUUUUAGUUGUUUGAAAGGUGGCGUAAGCUGUCGCUUGGGGAUGAGCCUGCGUCCUAUUAGUUAGUUGGUGAGGUAACGGCUCACCUAGGCAAUGAUAGGUAGGCGGCCUUAACGGGUGGUCGCCCACACUGGGAUUGAGAUACGGCCCAGACUCCUACGGGAGGCAGCAGUCGAGAAUAGUCUACAAUGGUCGGAAGACUGAUAGUGCGACGCCGCGUGAACGAUGAAUCCCUUCGGGGUGUAAAGUUCUUUUAUAUGUGAGCAGUGCUUCUUAUAUUAACAGUAUGGGGAGAGAGAUAUUAGCAUAUGAAUAAGCAACGGCUAACUCCGUGCCAGCAGCCGCGGUAAAA
Molecule: ribosomal RNA, 505 nt
Filed under: uncultured bacterium
Lineage: Bacteria
Description: bacterial SSU rRNA
Rfam family: Bacterial small subunit ribosomal RNA
Source: RNAcentral